GGCGGCAGGCUUAACACAUGCAAGUCGAGCGGUAGCAGAUCUAGCUUGCUAGAUGCUGACGAGCGGCGGACGGGUGAGUAACGCGUAGGAACCUGCCCAGUAGUGGGGGAUAGCCCGGGGAAACUACGGAUUAAUAACCGCAUACGCUCUACGGAGGAAAGAGGGGGCUUCGGCUCUCGCUAUUGGAUGGGCCUGCGUGAGAUUAGCUAGUUGGUGAGGUAAUGGCUCACCAAGGCGACGAUCUCUAGCUGGUCUGAGAGGAUGAUCAGCCACACUGGGACUGAGACACGGCCCAGACUCCUACGGGAGGCAGCAGUGGGUAAUAUUGCACAAUGGGCGCAAGCCUGAUGCAGCCAUGCCGCGUGUGUGAAGAAGGCUUUCGGGUUGUAAAGCACUUUCAGUGGGGAGGAAGGCCUCGUAGUUAAUAGCUGCGAGGAUUGACGUUACCCACAGAAGAAGCACCGGCUAACUCCGUG
This 476-nucleotide ribosomal RNA is filed under the name uncultured bacterium. RNAcentral's name for it is "bacterial SSU rRNA". It matches the Rfam family "Bacterial small subunit ribosomal RNA", at positions 38 to 507 of the family's 1533-position model. The record is from RNAcentral.